Molecule: unclassified non-coding RNA, 1585 nt
Filed under: uncultured fungus
Lineage: Eukaryota; Fungi
Description: sequence contains 18S rRNA gene, ITS1, 5.8S rRNA gene, ITS2, 28S rRNA gene
Rfam family: Eukaryotic large subunit ribosomal RNA (bases 475-1585)
Source: RNAcentral
GGAAGGAUCAUUAAAAAUAUAGCAAACCAAGCGUCAGCGAGGUUUUGCGAUCAAUUGUAUUUAAAACCCAACUCUUUGAAUCAAUAUAUUUUUUUAAUUAAUAAAAAAUAAAGAUCACUUUCAACAACGGAUCUCUUGGCUCUCGCAUCGAUGAAGAACGUAGCGAAGUGCGAUAUGUAAUGUGAAUUGCAGAAUUCCGUGAAUCAUCGAAUUUUUGAACGCAAAUUGCACUCUCUGGUAUUCCAGAGAGUAUGCCUGUUUGAGGGUCAGUGUAAUAAAAACAUCGUAGUUGUUAUCACAUUUCGUGGUGACGCUUCGGAAUUGAGUCGUCUUACCUUUUUGGUUAAGUGACUUUAAAUUUUUUUACACGAAUUCGAAACGUUAUUUAAUGCAAAUUUUAUGUACGUUUAACGAAGUCGGUUAUUAGGUGCGGUCAUUUGUAUGAUAAUUCGCAUCUAUAAUUUUUUCUUUUUUUGACCUCAAAUCAGGUAAGAGUACCCGCUGAACUUAAGCAUAUCAAUAAGCGGAGGAAAAGAAAAUAACAAUGAUUCCCUUAGUAACGGCGAGUGAAGAGGGAUAAGCUCAAAUUUAAAAUCUGUUAGGUUUUACCUAAUCGAGUUGUAAUUUGAAGAAGCGUUUUCCGCGUCUUUGUUGGCCCAAAUCCUUUGGGAUAAGGUAUCAUGGAGGGUGAGAAUCCCGUACGGCCGAUAUCAUGACGUUUUACGAUACGCUCUCAAAGAGUCGAGUUGUUUGGGAUUGCAGCUCUAAAUGGGAGGUAAAUUUCUCCUAAGGCUAAAUAUUGGCGAGAGACCGAUAGCGAACAAGUACCGUGAGGGAAAGAUGAAAAGAACUUUGAAAAGAGAGUUAAAAAGUACGUGAAAUUGUUGAAAGGGAAACGAUUGAAGUCAGUCGUACCGACGAGAAAUCAACUCAACGAAUGGGUAAUUGCGGGCGUAUGAGAGCUUCACGGUCUCAUUGUUUGUAAAUGCAUGUUCUUUGGGUGUACUUUUUCGUAUGGUAGGUCAGCAUCGGUUUCGAUUGUUAUAAAAUGACCGGAGGAAUGUAGCUUCGAUUUCGAUUGAAGUGUUAUAGCCUUUGGUAGAUGUUAUUGAUCGAGACCGAGGAUUGCAACGAAUACCCUUUUAGGGCUAUCCGUCUGACCUCUGAAAGUUGCUUAGGUGCCGAAAGCUUGCUUACGGUUACUUAAGCCAGCGGUCAAUAGGUUAGAACGUGAUUAAAUUCGUUAAGGAUGUUGACGUAAUGGCUUUAAACGACCCGUCUUGAAACACGGACCAAGGAGUCUAACAGAUAUGCGAGUGUUUGGGUGAAGAAACCCUUACGCGUAAUGAAAGUAAUUUAGGUGGGAUCACUUCGGUGUGCACCAUCGACCGAUCAGGAUAUUUUUUGAUAGACUCGAGUAAGAGCAUAUCUGCUAGGACCCGAAAGAUGGUGAACUAUGCCUGAAUAGGGUGAAGUCAGAGGAAACUCUGAUGGAGGCUCGUAGCGGUUCUGACGUGCAAAUCGAUCGUCAAAUUUGGGUAUAGGGGCGAAAGACUAAUCGAACCAUCUAGUAGCUGGUUCCUGC